GCCGGCGUGCCAGAGCCAGGCUAAUGGGGCGGUCUCGAAAACCGCUGUCCGCAAGGACUUGCAGGUUCAAAUGGCGGGAAGGCCAUGCCUUUCCGCGGUGGAAAUCCUGCCGCCGGCG
RNAcentral lists this transfer RNA (118 nucleotides) under Candidatus Aenigmatarchaeota archaeon. RNAcentral's name for it is "tRNA-Ser". Lineage: Archaea; Nanobdellati; Candidatus Aenigmatarchaeota. The record is from RNAcentral.